GGGGCAGCCCCCGCCCUCCUGGCUCUCCAUCCCGGCGGAUCUUUGAUAGACUGGAGUGUCGCCGCUGCCACCGCUUACCAUCUGAGUCCUUCUGAUUGGGAUUGGGUACCAGGCGGCAGUUAUCGGGACCAGGAGGCACAUAAUCUGGGAUGCCAUCAUUGUCAUCAUCCCCAUCACACUCAUCUCCAAGUCCAUCGUUAUCAGAGUCCAGCUGGGAGCUAUUUGGCAGCUGUGGGCAGUUGUCCUUGGUGUCCUGAUGCCCAUCCCCAUCGCUAAUCAGAAGAACAGGUUGGUGAAAGUCCCGAACUUUGUCUCCCCACCCAGAGGACAACUGGCCAGGAAAUCUGCCUGUUUCUUGUCUCACCCUCUAGUCCACACUCUGCCUAACACUACGCCCUACCUCACAUUCCUAUUGACAUCUGCUGCAGGUAAUCUCUCCUCACCCAGGCCAACGUCCACAAGCCUGCCUCCCUAUUUCACAGAGACUUCCUAGCUUCCCUGCUUCAUCCCCACCUGAUCCAAAUUCUCACAGGUCCCCCAGCCACCCCUUCAGCCCCAGGCCUGCACCAUCCCCAUCCACGUCGUUGUCACAGGCAUCUCCUUCCCCAUUGCCAUCUGUGUCCUUCUGGUCAUUGUUGGGAACGUUGGGGCAAUUGUCACAGGCAUCACCAAAUGAAUCUGUAUCUGA
Molecule: long non-coding RNA, 688 nt
Filed under: Homo sapiens (human)
Lineage: Eukaryota; Metazoa; Chordata; Mammalia; Primates; Hominidae
Description: HSALNT0295935
Source: RNAcentral